RNAcentral lists this ribosomal RNA (450 nucleotides) under uncultured bacterium. RNAcentral's name for it is "bacterial SSU rRNA". It matches the Rfam family "Bacterial small subunit ribosomal RNA", at positions 330 to 794 of the family's 1533-position model. The record is from RNAcentral.
UCCAGACUCCUACGGGAGGCAGCAGUGGGGAAUAUUGCACAAUGGGGGAAACCCUGAUGCAGCGACGCCGCGUGAGCGAAGAAGUAUUUCGGUAUGUAAAGCUCUAUCAGCAGGGAAGAAAAAAAUGACGGUACCUGAGUAAGAAGCACCGGCUAAAUACGUGCCAGCAGCCGCGGUAAUACGUAUGGUGCAAGCGUUAUCCGGAUUUACUGGGUGUAAAGGGAGCGUAGGCGGCGCGUUAAGUCUGAUGUGAAAACCCGAGGCUCAACCACGGGAGUGCAUUGGAAACUGGCGGGCUGGAGUGCCGGAGAGGUAAGCGGAAUUCCUAGUGUAGCGGUGAAAUGCGUAGAUAUUAGGAGGAACACCAGUGGCGAAGGCGGUCUGCUGGACAGUAACUGACGGUGAGGCGCGAAAGCGUGGGGAGCAAACAGGAUUAGAUACCCCCGUACC